GUUUAGGAUUUGGUUAGGAUUUGAUUUAGGGUUUGGAUUAGGAUUUGGAUUAGGGUUUGGUUAGGAUUUUAUUUAAGGUUUGGUUUAGGAUUUAGGAUUUGGAUUAGAGUUUAGGGUUGGAUUAGGGUUUAGAUUAGGGUUUGGAUUAGGGUUUAGGAUUUGAUUAGGGUUUGAUUUAAGGUUUGGAUUAGAGUUUGGACUAGGAUUUGGUUAGGGUUUGAUUUAAGGUUUGAUUUAGGGUUUAGGAUUUGGAUUAGAGUUUAGAGUUGGAUUAGGGUUUAGAUUAGGAUUUGGUUAGGGUUUGAUUUAGGAUUUGGAUUAGGGUUUAGGAUUUGGUUAGGAUUUGAUUUAGUGUUUGGAUUAGGGUUUGGUUAGGAUUUGAUUUAAGAUUUGGUUUAGGGUUUAGGAUUGGAUUAGGGUUUGGUUUAGGAUUUGAUUUAGGGUUUGGUUUAGGGUUUAGGAUUUGGAAUAGGAUUUAAUUUAAGAUUUGUUUAGGAUUUGACUUAGGAUUUAGGAAUUAUUAGGAUUUAAGAUUUAAUUAGGUUUGGUCUAAAUUUGAAUAAAAUUCAAUAGGUUUUUAACUAGAAUUAAAUUAAGGUUGAAUUAACAUAUAUUUGAGUAAAAUUUGUGAUCAUUCUAAUAUUUCUUUAAGAAUUUUAUUGUUUCUUUGAAAUUUCUUUGAGUUGUUUUGAAUUUGAUUACAUUUGUUUACCAUUAUUGUAGUCUAAUUAGAGCAUUGUUAGUAUUCUAUUUAGGAUUUUUUUAUCGCAAUUUCUAUUCUUCCUUCUACAGCCAGGUGUCCGGAGCAUUCUCAAGCAAGACUUCACACAUUACAACAUAUUUGGUGAACCCGACGUGAAACGCUUGAAGUGGAAGGAAUUUAUUAUUAUUUUUUUUAUUUGAAUUUUGGAGAAGGAAUUAAAGGAGAAUGGAAGGAGGCAAUUUGGAUUGUGCUUCAAGUGGAGUUGGAAGAAGAGCUUCAUUUGGAGGACAAGGUAUGCAUUUUGAUCCUAACUCCACAAGCAUGUUUGAAGCUUUGACCUUAUUCAUGCAACAACAAGAGCAACAGGUUAAAGAUCGCAAAGAGAGUAUAGCUAAUAAAGCAUUAUAAGCGGUCGUAGACAAGAUUGAUCAAUUUGAAGGAAAGGAUAUUACAAAAUAUUUAAGAUGUUAUGUAAAGGAAAUGGAAUUGAAGCAUAUUUCGGAAAGUGAAAUGGUUCAAUUAUUUGAAUUAGCCUCUGCACGAGAGAUAAGAAAUCAAGUUAAGUUUCUUAUUCAAAACUUUGGAGGUUCAUGGGAGAAAUUUUCUCAAGCUUUGAAGGAUGAAUUUUUCUUAGAAGAUAGUGAUAGAGUUACAAAAAGAUCUUUUUUUGACUGGAUUGAAAAGCCAAAGAAAGAUCUUCUAGCAAUAGAAUUAUUAAGGAAGUUUAAAAAGCAAUAUUCUUCUUUAUCAAAGAAAGAAAGACAAUUAUUGGAUCCAAGUAAGGUGGAGCUCUUUCUUCAAGCAGCUGAUGGCAAGUUGCAAGAGAAGUUGGAAUUCAUGCUUGAAGAUAAAAAAGAAGAUGAAGGAUUGAGAACAAAUUGGAAAAGGGUAGAGGAUGCUGUAAGGACGAUUACAAAAAGAGAAAAGAAAAAAGAUAUGAAGGAUGAUCAAAGACCAUUACAACCAUCUAAGAUAAAGGUGUCUAGUAUCCAUCUGACAUCUUUAAUUCAACCUUCAAUGGCUACAUCAAAGAAAGAAGAAACAUGAAUUGAUGAAAUCAUACGUGGGAUGAGAAAUUUGUAAAUAAAAUUUGUAAAACUUGAAGAGAAAGGUCAAUCAUCAAGAAUAUCAACAAAACAAAGACCAAGGCCAAUGGACGGUGUAGUACAUAGAUGCAUGUGGUGUGACAGCAUAGAUCACUCAAGGAAGGAAUGUGAAGAAUUUACAGAGUUGUUUUUUUAAAGAUGGUAUGAUACACUCAAAAGAACAUGGAGAAAAAUUAGAAACAAAUUUUGAUAAAGGAAGAAUGAAGUUAUUUAUUGGAGAUACUUUUAAAGUGCAGACAAUCUCAAGCAAUGAAGCAUCAAUAUAUUGGGUGGAAGCAGAUCCUAGUAGAUGUUUAAGUAUAAACCUUGAUUUUUCAAUAGAAUCUAGUUUUUUGUGGACAAGUGCAAUGAGGUAUGCUGAAAGGAGAAAUUUUACUAGAGAUGAUUUGAAACAGGUUGGUAAUAACAUUUGACAAAUUACUGGGUGGAAUGAUCCAGUAGAUAGACUAUCUAUACAUGCUCAUAUUGCAAGGAGUCAACAUGAAGCAUUAAUAGAAGAAAAACGAAGGAGAGAUGAAAAUAAUGAAGGGCCUUUAAAAAGAAUUACAAGGGGAGAAAAAGCACAACAACAAAAAAAUUCUAUACAUGAAGAGACAAUGGAGAGCAUUUCUAUAAAAGAAAGGGAAAUUGGAAAAAAAAAAAAGCAAAGGCUCCUGCUUAUAAAUUACAAUCAGAUAUUGAAGCAGCUACAGAUUUGAAGAAGGUAUUCGAGGAGAGGAUUUUAAGUGAAAAGGUUGAAUUCACAAUUGGUGAAAUUCUAGGAAUUGCAAAGCGUGAGUUUCAUGAAGUUAUUAUUGAUACAAUAAAGAAAAAAUGAAAAUCUAUAGGAGACUCUAUGACAUCAAAUGCACAAGGAAUAAGAGCAAUGGAAAGAAAUGAAGAUGAAGAAGAUAAAAUACAAAAUUUUGGAGAUGCCUUGCGAGUAAGGUUUGGAGAAAAAGAAGAUGUCAUUCAAGCUUCUAGCCAUUAUUCUAGAAGUCAUUGGGCAAGGGCUACAAUGGAGACUUUAAUAAAAUUGGGAAAUUUAGAAGAACCAGUUGUAGCAUUAAUUGAUCAUGGUUCUAAAAUCAAUUUGAUAUCAAAAGAAUUAUAUAACAAGGAAAAAUGGCCUAUUGAUACUGAACAUGGGUGGAUGAUAAGAGCUGCGAAUAAUUCAAAGAGAGAUUUGCAUGGAGCAUGUCUAAAUAUCAAAGUGACAAUUGGAGAUGUUAUUCAUGAACAAAAUUUCUUUGUGCAAGACAUGUCUACAUAUCCUAUUAUAAUGGGACAACCAUAUAUUAUUUCCACAUGAAUGGAAACAAAAGUAAUGGAUGAUGGUUCAUCUUAUGUAAGAAUAAGAAGCCAAGAUGGGAUGAAAGCAGUUGAAAAAUUUGAAGACCUUGAGGAUUUUUACCACACACCAUUGUAAGGCGGGGUUGCAAUGUAUUAGAGAAAGAAAUACUCCUGCUUAAUUUAAAAAAAGAAUUAUUAUCUACCGGACUUAUUGAGAUGACACAAAAUUGUGUAUUGACUUUUAAGACUAUUGACAAAAUGGAAAAGAGGGACAGAUGUUAUAUUAAAAAUAUAGAAAAAAAUUUGAAAGAAAAUGGAGAAUUGGUUGAAAAUGAAUUUAUUUCAGGAACAUAUGAAGAAGUAGGUUUUGCAGAUACUAUGGGGGAAUUAAAUUAUCUAUUACAAUGUGGAUUACAAGUAGAGAAUAGAGUUAUUAAUGUGUGUUCUAAAGAAUUUUAUGAUGAAAUUCAAGGAUUUAAAGAAAAUUUAAGUCGCCAAGAGGUAUAUGUUGAAACUAAGUAUAAAUCAAUAGCAAAGAAGGUCAAACCAGUGGCUUUGCCACUACCAUGUGAUUGUGAAGAAAUGAUAAGUGGAGCAUCGACACAACCAAAUCUAAGAGAUCUAAAGAAGAUAGGGCAUAAAUUUAUGGAUGUUACAUUAGAUGGGUUAAAUAUUGGAGGUGAUGGAUUUUUGACAAAAUGUGAAGAAAAAUAUUUUAGGAAUAUGCUUUCACGUCAUGGAAAAGCUUUUGCAUUUAAAGCACAUGAAAUUGGGUGUGUUGAUCCAAAUAUUUUAGCAUCCAUGGUUAUUUUUACUAUUCCUCAUGAACCAUGGAAUUUGCGACCAAUUCUAGUACCAAGAGCGUAUUUAUCUAAGUUAGUAGAUUUACUCAAUUAAAAGAUUAAAAUAGGAAUUUUGAAACCAUCUAUAGCACCUUAUUCUAAUCGAUGGUUUACAGUGCCAAAGAAAAAUGGAACAAUGAGAUUUAUACAAGAUAUGCAACCCGUAAAUAAAGUAACUAUUAGAAAUAUGGGUUCAAGUCCAAUUGUGGAUGAAUUUAUAGAAGCAUUUACUGGAAGAGCUAUCUACUCAAUGGGUGAUCUUUAUUCAGGUUAUGAUCAAUUCCAAUUGGCAAUACAAAGUAGGGAUUUGACAACUAUGAAGACACCGUUAGGAUUGGUUAGAAUGUGUACAUUACCAGAAGGGGCUACAAAUUCUGUAGCACAUAUGAUGAAUGGAAUGCAUAAGGUAUUAAGAGAUUUUAUUCUAAAAAUAACAAUACCUUUCUUGGAUGAUGUACCUAUUAAGGGACGUGAAGAAGAAAGAAAGGAUGAAACUUUAGAUUCAAAGGGAUGUAGGAAUUUUGUGGCAGAUCAUAUUGAAGAUUGUGAGAAGAUUUUGAAAAGAUUGGAAGAAGUUCAUUUAACCUUAUCGGGGACAAAAUCAAUAUUUGGAGUCAAAGAAAUUUUGGUAGUAGGACACAUAUGUGGUUCAUAUGGACGUAAGCCAAGUAUAGAAAAGAUUGAUAUUAUUAAAAAGAUGAAAGAAUGUACAAAUAUAAUAGAAGUGAGAAGAUUUUUAGGAGCAUGUAUUUUCUAUCAUAUAUGGAUACCUCACUUUGCACAUAUAGUAGAUCCAUUAUGUAAGUUGUUAAGAAAGAAUCAAAAAUUUCAAUGGAAAGAAGAACAACAGAAAGUUAUGGAAAAAUUGAAAGAACUUCUUUUUUCAUCUCCAACUUUGAAGAAAGUAAAUUAUGAAGGUGGAAGGCCAGUGGUAUUAACAGUUGAUGCAAGUCCAAUUGGAAUAAGUUGGACGGUUGGGUAAGAUGAUGAACAAGGAAAUAGAUAUAUAGUAAGAUUUGGAGCAAAGGUAUUGAAUUCUAAGUAAAGGGCAUAUGCGCAAAUCAAAAGAGAAUUAUGAGGUAUAAUAAUAGCUAUGAAAAAUGAAAAAGAGUACUUGAUUGGAGCAUCAGUAGUUAUAGAAACAGAUUGUCUACCUUUGUUAGGCAUGAUUACAAGUUGUUCAACUCCUGAUAUUGUUAUGUUGAGGUGGAUAGCAUAUAUCAAAUCUAUGAAUCCUGAAUUUAAACAUAUUGUAGGGAAAGAAAAUUCAGUUGCAAAUAUGUUAUCGAGAGCAAGGUAUAAUGAUGAAGAAAAGAUGAUUGAUUUAGAAGAUGAUGUGGGUACAAAAUUUUAUACCAAUGCAUUAUCAAAGGAAAAGGAUAUAUGUUUUAAUAUAUCAUUAGAAGCAUUUUUAAGAGAUUUAUAUGAAAAUGAAUGGAAAGAUGUUGGAGAGUAUUUGAGUACAUUAAAAUGACAAAAAGAUUAGAUAGAUCAAGAAUUUAAGAAAAUUCGUAAGAAAUCCUAUGGAUAUUUUUUAUAUGAUGGAUAUUUAUGGAAGCAUCCAAAAAAGAGAGGAAAAGUACCACAAAGGGUGAUAUGUGAUUUAGAAGUUCAACAAAAGAUUAUUAAAGAAUUUCAUGAAAAUUUAUGGGUAGGACAUCGAGGUAUUUGGACAACAUUCACUAAGUUCAAGGAAAAAUAUUGCUGGAAGAGAAUGUACAAAGACAUAGCAAAAUUUGUAGAAUCUUGUGAGACUUGCCAAGUAUAUUCAAAUAUUCGACAUCGAGAUGGAUUACAUCCAACAUAUCCUUUGGCUUUACAUUACAAAUGGGUGGUGGAUUUAGUAGCAAUGCCUAUAAGACUUGGACAAAUGAAAUAUUUGGUACUUGUAUGAGAAGAUUUAUCAAAUAUGGUUGAAGGACGAGCAUUAAGAACAAAGGAUACUAAAGGUGUAUGUCGAUUUCUAUUAGAAGAAGUUAUUUGUCGCUAUGGUUGUAUUGGAAAAAUUAUGACAGAUAGAGGUGAAUUGGAUGCAAAGGAAGCACGAGAAUUCUUUAAUCGGAUAGGAAUUAAACUUUCAUUAACAACUGCAUAAAAUCUAGAAGGUAAUGGUAAAAGUGAGGGUGGACAUUCACCUAUUGUAAAGGCAUUAGUAAAGGCAUGCAAUGGAAAAGUACAUGAAUGGCCUAGACUACUACCAUUUGCACUAUGGGCAGAUCGUACAACUCAUAGUUCGGUAACAGGUUAUAUGCCUUCUGAAUUAGUAUAUGGUCAAAAACCAGUAAUGCCAAUAGAAGAUGUAGUACCUACAUGGAGUGUAUUGCCUUGGAAGAAUGAGCUCAAUAGAGAAGAACUUUUAGCAUUACGGAUUCAAAAACUAGAAAGAAGAUCCAACGAUAUUAAAAUAGCAAUAAAAAAAUUGAAAGAAGCAAUGAAAAAGAAUAAAGAAAGAUUUGAUAAAAAACAUCGAUUACGACCCAAGGCUAUUGAAGAUGGUGAUUGGGUAUUAGUUUAUGAUAGUAGCUUAGACAAUCAACAUAGCACUAUGAAGAAUUUUGCAAAGAGGUGAUUUGGACCUUAUAUUUUCAAAAGGGCACACAACAAUGGAACAUAUUCAUUACAAGAACUUGAUGGUACAGAAUUGAAGGUAUCCAUAGCAGGCAAACGAAUCAAGUUAUUUAAACAAAGAGAUGAAGGCAUUUGUUUUGAUGAAGAACAAACUCAAAUAUAAGAUAUUGAGAUUGGAAUAGAAGAGCAUAUCGAAGAUCAAGAAUUGUACUAAGAUGAAGAACAUUCUACAUCAACAUAUUGAAGAAUCAUUGGUGCAUGUCAGAGGAUGCACAAAUUCAGUGGGGGUGGAUGUCAUGAUGUAAUACAAUUAAUAUGUGAAAGAGUGUGGAGAUUAUUAUAAUUUAAGAGAUCUUAGUUCAAAGUAUUAGAACAAAUUAUCUUAAAAAUAUAGUUAAUAGCCAAAGGGGUAGAAAAAUUAAAAGGUAUCAAUGCUGCCUUUUAGAAAGGUGACUUCUACUUACUUUGUAGUACCAUAAGUAAGGCAAAUCAAAGUAGAUUGGGAAAAUAAAUGAUAUAGGAAUCUUUAGAAGAAAGUUAAGAAUAAAUUCUAGAAAAAAGUUACUUAGAAAAACUAGAUAUUGAUACCCGGAGAGGGCCGGUUAUGAACCAGGAUCGAAAUCAGACCCUGAGGCACAAAAUCGAGUCUCGAUGACGACUCCAAGACUCUUUGGCAGAUCGGAGAGUGGAGUUUGGCUAAGGUUCGGUUUAGAGUUUGGAUUAGAGUUUGGAUUAGGAUUUGGAUUAGGGUUUAGGAUUUGGUUAGGAUUUGGCUAGGGUUCGAUUUAGGAUUUGGAUUAGGAUUUGGAUUAGAGUUUGGAUUAGGAUUUGGAUUAGGGUUUGGUUAGGGUUUGAUUUAAGGUUUGGUUUAGGAUUUAGGAUUUGGAUUAGAGUUUAGGAUUGGAUUAGGGUUUGGAUUAGGGUUUGGAUUAGGAUUUAGGAUUUGAUUAGGAUUUGAUUUAAGGUUUGGUUUAGGAUUUAGGAUUUGGAUUAGAGUUUAGGGUUGGAUUAGGGUUUGAAUUAGGGUUUGGAUUAGGAUUUAGGAUUUGGUUAGGGUUUGAUUUAGGAUUUGGAUUAGGGUUUGGUUAGGAUUUGAUUUAAGGUUUGGUUUAGGGUUUAGGAUUUGGAAUAGGAUUUAAUUUAAGAUUUGUUUAGGAUUUGACUUAGGAUUUAGGAAUUAUUAGAGUUUAAGAUUUCAUUAGAUUUGGUCUAAAGUUGAGUGAAAUUCAAUAGGGUUUUAACUAGAAUUAAAUUAAGGUUGAAUUGACAUAUAUUUGAGUAAAAUUUUUGAUCAUUCUAAUAUUUCUUUAAGAAUUUUAUUAUUUGUUUGAAAUUUCUUUGAGUUGUUUUGAAUUUGAUUAUGUUUGUUUACCAUUAUUAUAGUCUAAUUAGAGCAUUGUUAGUAUUCUAUUUAGGAUUUUGUUAUCGCAAUUU
This 7925-nucleotide long non-coding RNA is filed under the name Physcomitrium patens. RNAcentral describes it as "long non-coding RNA (PPAT_LNC013176)". The record is from RNAcentral. Lineage: Eukaryota; Viridiplantae; Streptophyta; Bryopsida; Funariales; Funariaceae.